This 399-nucleotide long non-coding RNA is filed under the name Oryza sativa Indica Group (long-grained rice). RNAcentral's name for it is "lncRNA OsLiXu_01g0038730". Lineage: Eukaryota; Viridiplantae; Streptophyta; Magnoliopsida; Poales; Poaceae. The record is from RNAcentral.
CCGUGCGAUACGUUCGUUGCUGUUGUGCUGCUGUUCCCUUUACCAUCAGCUCCUGUUCAGGUUGCGGACCGCAUCUUCUGUGCCCGUACAUGUCGGCUAAGUUCCUAUAUGGAAGGGGGUCGUGUGAUUAAAUCGUCUGUUGCUUGUUUAGCAUCUUCCUCUAAUUCAGCUGCCAGCGAAUAUGUUUGGGAGACUGUUGCUCCACCCCGUCAGGAUGAUGGAUUUUUCCCUAUCUACCCUGCAUGGUAUUCUUCAAAAAGACGGCAAAUGCGUUCAAAAAAAUUGGCCAUGAAACGAUUGGUGGCUGCAGGCAAAAAACCUUGCCGUAUUGCUCCUGUCUCUUGCAACAAGUUUGACAGUGAUUAUGCCAAGUUUUUGAGAGGUUGCUUUCAUCUUUGA